Molecule: transfer RNA, 69 nt
Filed under: Benthosema pterotum (skinnycheek lanternfish)
Lineage: Eukaryota; Metazoa; Chordata; Actinopteri; Myctophiformes; Myctophidae
Description: tRNA-Gly
Source: RNAcentral
AUCUUUCUAGUAUAACCAGUAUAUGUGACUUCCAAUCACCCAGUCCCAGUUAAACUCCGGGGAAAGAUA